GCAUCACGAAGAAUCAUCUACCAUGAAUUUUGGAUGUGGUGAUCUACUACCUGCACUCAGGUAUAAGAUUUUGAUCUCAAUUAAUUUUUAGAUGCAAUCUAAAUAUAAAUUACAUAUGAUCUAAUUGCACUUUGAUAUGUUCUGUACUUGCUAAAUUUUAGAUUUCAGAUAUACAUAUAUACAUAUUAGUUUAUAUCAUAGAUCCUAU
Molecule: long non-coding RNA, 208 nt
Filed under: Elaeis guineensis (African oil palm)
Lineage: Eukaryota; Viridiplantae; Streptophyta; Magnoliopsida; Arecales; Arecaceae
Description: long non-coding RNA (EGUI_LNC059007)
Source: RNAcentral